AACGAACGCUGGCGGCAGGCCUAACACAUGCAAGUCGAACGCCGUAGCAAUACGGAGUGGCAGACGGGUGAGUAACGCGUGGGAAUAUACCCUUCGGUUCGGAAUAACUCAGGGAAACUUGAGCUAAUACCGGAUACGUCCGAGGUUUUAAUCGACCUUGGAGAAAGAUUUAUCGCCGGAGGAUUGGCCCGCGUCUGAUUAGCUUGUUGGUGAGGUAAUGGCUCACCAAGGCGACGANCAGUAGCUGGUCUGAGAGGAUGAUCAGCCACAUUGGGACUGAGACACGGCCCAAACUCCUACGGGAGGCAGCAGUGGGGAAUAUUGGACAAUGGCGAAAGCCUGAUCCAGCCAUGCCGCGUGAGUGAUGAAGGCCUUAGGGUUGUAAAGCUCUUUACCCGGGAAGAUAAUGACGGUACCGGGAGAAUAAGCCCCGGCUAACUUCGUGCCAGCCGCCGCCGUAAC
RNAcentral lists this ribosomal RNA (462 nucleotides) under uncultured bacterium. RNAcentral describes it as "bacterial SSU rRNA". It matches the Rfam family "Bacterial small subunit ribosomal RNA", at positions 29 to 524 of the family's 1533-position model. The record is from RNAcentral.